GAUGAAGAACGUAGUGAAAUGCGAUAAGUAGUGUGAAUUGCAGAAUUCAGUGAAUCAUCGAAUCUUUGAACGCACAUUGCGCCCUUUGGUAUUCCAAAGGGCAUGCCUGUUCGAGCGUCAUUUGUACCCUCAAGCUUUGCUUGGUGUUGGGCGUCUUGUCUCUAGCUUUGCUGGAGACUCGCCUUAAAGUAAUUGGCAGCCGGCCUACUGGUUUCGGAGCGCAGCACAAGUCGCACUCUCUAUCAGCAAAGGUCUAGCAUCCAUUAAGCCUUUUUUUCAACUUUUGACCUCGGAUCAGGUAGGGAUACCCGCUGAACUUAAGCAUACAAUAAGCGGAGGA
RNAcentral lists this unclassified non-coding RNA (340 nucleotides) under soil metagenome. RNAcentral describes it as "partial contains 5.8S ribosomal RNA, internal transcribed spacer 2, and large subunit ribosomal RNA". The stretch from base 1 to 120 matches the Rfam family "5.8S ribosomal RNA", at positions 35 to 154 of the family's 154-position model. The record is from RNAcentral.